Molecule: long non-coding RNA, 1637 nt
Organism: Myotis davidii
Lineage: Eukaryota; Metazoa; Chordata; Mammalia; Chiroptera; Vespertilionidae
Exons: 4
Source: RefSeq, a predicted model, not a curated record
CCCAGACCCCACCCAUGGGCUGCAGGUCCCUGGUGCCAAAGUCAAGCCAUUUCCUUCCGGGAUGACUUCAGCCCCCAAGACCCUGGCUGGGAUGUCACUCAGCUCCCUCCCCUGUCAGGUAUCUGGACCCCCAUCCCCCCCAAUCCUGGUGCCUCCACCUGAAUCUGGGAACUUUACUUCCAAGUGAAGCUAGAGACGUGGAGACAAUGGCCAAGGCGGGUGGAGAGGAAAGAAAGUGAGGAAGUGUCGAGCUCUGGACGCUGCGCUCUAAACUCUGUUCUCCACAGCAUUUAAAUGCCGGCCGGCAAGCGGAUUAAUAAGGUCUGGGUCACAGCAGCAGCGUCUAUAUUUAAUCUAUCUGCAACGCCAGUUGGUCGGGCCGUGUGAAUAUUGAUGGCCGGGCGGGAUUGAGGACAGGCAGCAUGGCACCGGCUUUAUCUCUCGGGCGCAGGCAGCCGGGCCCUUAUCAGGACAGCCCGGCUGCCGCAGCUGCGCCUGCCAGGGCCCGCACCCCGCCUCCCGCUGCCUGCUUUGUAAUCAGAAGAGAAGAAGUUGCUGCCUUGAUAUUUCCAUUUUUAUCACUUUUAUUUACUUCAUUUCAAUGUCUUUCAGGGAAUAUUUUCUUUGCACCAAGGCAAGGCAAGGCUGACGGUUGCUUACAGCUUUCUGCCGCCCCUGCCCCUCAGCCAGGCUGGGACCGGGGAGAAGAGAUUUGGGAUUCCCAGCCCAGCCCUGAUGGUGAGGGAUGAGUUACAAGGAGCCUUAACCCACGGCCCUGGAGGAGGGCCCUGGGAGCCUGAUCCUGAGAGGAGCCUGUUGAGGAACAGAUGAGUUCAAGCCUCCGUCCCUCCACCACCCCCUCGGAUCUGGAUCUGGGGGAGCCCUGAUUAUCUCCCUUUCCCGGAUGAGGAAGCUGAGGUUCCGAGAGGUUAUCAGUCACAGUCACUUUGCUCGGAGCUGGCAACUCGUGACAGAGAAAGGAAUUGCAGCGUGGCCGGGCCUUCGGAGACGGUCUCCGUCCGGCACAGGGCUGGCGCCGAGGGGGCUCCGCCAGCGUCCGCUCGCCUUGCCCGUGUCUCCUCCCUCAUGUGUGAGGCUGGAUGGUCAUAUCCCUGUUACUCAGUGAAGGGAGACAGCGUGUGCAGCAGCUCACUGUGAGGACCCAGCCUCUCUGUGCCUGGCUGAGUGUCAUCAAUGCCCCUGCACUGGAUUGAAUAGUUUCCCCCAGAGAUAUGUCCAUACCCUGUUUGGAGAAAGGGUCUUUGGAGAUUUGAUGAAGUCAAGGAUCUCGAGAUUUCAUGCUGAAGAACAGAAAGGCUAGGCGCUGGUGGGAUCGAUGUGGUUUCUGUCACUGAAGAGAGAAAGGUCAAGGCUGGAAAUGAUGCAUCGCCUCAUCACCAGGAGCCCCAGAGGGCCGUGACAACACAGCCGGAACAGGCCUCUCAUAGCCCGGCAAGUGUUGAUGGGCCAUGACAGCCUCCAGGACUGCACGGCCAUCCCAUUGGUGUUUCCUUGCAACCAGCACAGAUGAGACACUGUCAUCACCCCCAUUGUGCAGCCAGAAACACCAAGGCCAAGAGCUGGAAGAUGCCCACCUGUCAGGACAGGCAGAGCCACAGGACCUCCCGGGGAAGGUU